Molecule: ribosomal RNA, 4013 nt
Filed under: Coxiella-like endosymbiont
Lineage: Bacteria; Pseudomonadati; Pseudomonadota; Gammaproteobacteria; Legionellales; Coxiellaceae
Description: 23S ribosomal RNA
Rfam family: Bacterial large subunit ribosomal RNA
Source: RNAcentral
AGUCAAGUGAAUAAGCGCGUAUGGUGGAUGCCUUGGCAGUAAGAGGCGAUGAAGGACGUAGUAGUCUGCGAUAAGCUUCGGGGAGUUGACAAACAAGCGGUGAUCCGGAGAUUUCCAAAUGGGGAAACCCAACCCUUUAGGGUUAUCGUGUACUAAAUUCAUAGGUACACGAAGCUAACCUGGGGAACUGAAACAUCUAAGUACCCAGAGGAAAAGAAAUCAAAAUGAGAUUCCGUUAGUAGCGGCGAGCGAACGUGGAAGAGCCCGGUUACUAACUCGCUAUUUGUUCUAGCAGAAUGUUCUGGAAAGUGCAACCAUAGUAGGUGAUAGUCCUGUAUGCGAAAGGCGAAUAGUGUUAAGUAACGAUGAGUAGGUCGGGACACGUGUAAUCCUGACUGAAGAUGGGGGGACCAUCCUCCAAGGCUAAAUACUACUUACUGACCGAUAGUGAACUAGUACCGUGAGGGAAAGGUGAAAAGAACCCCGGUGAGGGGAGUGAAAUAGAACCUGAAACCGUAUGCGUACAAGCAGUCGAAGCAUUUCUUCGGAGAUGUGACGGCGUACCUUUUGUAUAAUGGGUCAGCGACUUACUUGUUGUAGCAAGCUUAACCGUUUAGGGGAGGCGUAGAGAAAUCGAGUCCGAAAUUAGGGCGUUUAGUUGCAGCAAGUAGACCCGAAACCGGGCGAUCUAUCUAUGGCCAGGGUGAAAGUCAGGUAACACUGACUGGAGGCCCGAACCCACUAAUGUUGAAAAAUUAGGGGAUGAGCUGUGGAUAGGAGUGAAAGGCUAAUCAAGCUCGGAGAUAGCUGGUUCUCCUCGAAAGCUAUUUAGGUAGCGCCUCGUGUAUGAUUCUUGGGGGUAGAGCACUGUUUUGGCUAGGGGACCUACCCGGUCUGCCAAACCGAAGCAAACUCCGAAUACCAAGAAAUUUUAGCACGGGAGACACACUGCGGGUGAUAAGGUCCGUAGUGCAAAGGGAAACAGCCCAGACCGUCAGCUAAGGUCCCAAAAUCACAGUUAAGUGGUAAACGAUGUAGGAAGGCUUAGACAACCAGGAGGUUGGCUUAGAAGCAGCCAUCCUUUAAAGAAAGCGUAAUAGCUCACUGCUCGAGUCGUCCUGCGCGGAAGAUUUAACGGGGCUAAAAUUGUGUACCGAAGCUACGGGACUCCUUCGGGAGUCGGUAGAGGAGCGUUCUGUAGGCCUGAGAAGGCAAACUGAGAGGUUUGUUGGAGGUAUCAGAAGUGCGAAUGCUGACAUAAGUAACGAUAAUGUGGGUGAGAAACCCACACGCCGAAAGUCUAAGGUUUCCUGCGCAACGUUAAUCGGCGCAGGGUGAGUCGGCCCCUAAGGUGAGGCAGAAAUGCGUAGCCGAUGGGAAACAGGUUAAUAUUCCUGUACUUUACAAUGCUGCGAUGGGAGGACGGAGAAGGCUAGGUCAUCCCCCGGAUGGUUGUGGGGGUUUAAGUGUGUAGGGAGAGUUCUUUGGCAAAUCCGGGAAUUCAAUUCUGAGACAUGAUGACGAAGUACGACUUGUUCGUGCAAAAGUGAUUAAUGCCAUGCUUCCAGGAAAAGUCCCUAAGCUUCAGGUAUUGUAAAACCGUACUAUAAACCGACACAGGUGGACAGGUAGAGAAUACCAAGGCGCUUGAGAGAACUUGGGUGAAGGAACUAGGCAAAAUAGCACCGUAACUUCGGGAGAAGGUGUGCCCUUGGUAAGUAGAGGCUUCGCAGCCGAAAGCUGAAAAGGGUUGCAAUAACUAGGUGGCUGAGACUGUUUACUAAAAACAUAGCACUCUGCAAACUCGCAAGAGGAAGUAUAGGGUGUGACGCCUGCCCGGUGCCGGAAGGUUAAAUGAUGGAGUUAGUCCUCGGACGAAGCUCUGGAUUGAAGCCCCGGUAAACGGCGGCCGUAACUAUAACGGUUAAAUAAGCUUAAUUUAUUGAUAUUAAUUAAAUCAAUUAUUCUACCGCUUAGUGGCUGUUAUAAAAUUUGGCUAUAUGCUGGAAACUCCGAGUAUCCUGGAGUACUUGUUUUAUAUGACUAUCUUAGAUUAUUUAGGAUAGGAUAAUUUUGUAUGAAACAGUAAAAAUCUAACAGGUGCGGACAAUCAGCAGGAAAGACUGAAAUAUCAGAAUCCUCAGAGACUACAUGCCAAACACUAAUUUUCGUUGGUGAAGAUAUAGUCCGACCUCUGUGGCGACAUAGAGAAUCUGGCAGAAAUGACCAGAUCUUUUCAACUUUUUGUUAAAGGGAAGGUAGGGAAGUAACAAAUUGCCUAAGGUAGAAUUAAUAUCGCUGCUUUAGUAAAAUUUGGCUAUAUGCUGGAAACUCCGAGUAUCCUGGAGUACUUGUUUUAUAUGACUAUCUUAGAUUAUUUAGGAUAGGAUAAUUUUGUAUGAAACAGUAAAAAUCUAACAGGUGCGGACAAUCAGCAGGAAAGACUGAAAUAUCAGAAUCCUCAGAGACUACAUGCCAAACACUAAUUUUCGUUGGUGAAGAUAUAGUCCCCUCUGCAUGGCGACAUGCAGGAAAAGUAGGAUACUUUUCAGCUUAUUCAAUUUUUUUAUUGAAUUAAGUUAAGAUUAUGAGCGAAAUUCCUUGUCGGGUAAGUUCCGACCUGCACGAAUGGCGUAACGAUGGCCACGCUGUCUCCACCCAAGACUCAGUGAAAUUGAAAUCGCUGUGAAGAUGCAGUGUACCCGCGGCUAGACGGAAAGACCCCGUGAACCUUUACUAUAGCUUUAUACUGAACUUUGAAUAUGCCUGUGUAGGAUAGGUGGGAGGCUUUGAAGUCGGAGCGCUAGCUCCGGUGGAGCCAAUCUUGAAAUACCACCCUUGUGUAUUUGAGGUUCUAACCUUGACCCGUCAUCCGGGUUAGGAACAGUGUAUGGUGGGUAGUUUGACUGGGGCGGUCUCCUCCUAAAGAGUAACGGAGGAGUACAAAGGUACCCUCAGCACGGUCGGAAAUCGUGCAAUGCGUGCAAAGGCAUAAGGGUGCUUGACUGCGAGACUGACAAGUCGAGCAGGUACGAAAGUAGGUCUUAGUGAUCCGGUGGUUCUUUAUGGAAGGGCCAUCGCUCAACGGAUAAAAGGUACUCCGGGGAUAACAGGCUGAUACCACCCAAGAGUUCAUAUCGACGGUGGUGUUUGGCACCUUAACUUAAUCGGGGUGCUACAGAAGUAAUUCUGUACCAAAAAUUCGGCUUAUAACGGUAAAACCGUCAGUGUAAAUUUAGUGAUGGCAUCUCUUAUAUCUCAAAUUUAUUACCCGGCAAUACCGUGGGAAGUCUAAUGUCUAAACAACACGCCGUUUUGGUAGGAAGUUAAGUUAAUGAUAUGCUCUUCUCUUAACUCCACUAAAAAUCAGACAAGGCACUGAUGGUGGGUUUUAUAUCGAUUGUGCCACGUAGAAGCUGUGUGCUCGAUAUGAAUUAGCAUUAUGACCCUGUAACGACUGACCUGAAAGGGGAGAUCCAUUCGAGGCAAUUGAAAUGGGUAAUACGCCGACUCCUGUUUGUCUUAAUUAGACUAUGACUCGCAAAAGUUUAAGGUCAAUGCAGGAUGAAGAUAUAGUCUACGCCAUAUGAAAAUAUGGAAUCAUGUACGAUGUCGGCUCAUCACAUCCUGGGGCUGUAGCCGGUCCCAAGGGUAUGGCUGUUCGCCAUUUAAAGUGGUACGUGAGCUGGGUUUAGAACGUCGUGAGACAGUUCGGUCCCUAUCUACCGUGGGCGUUGGAGAUUUGAGAGGAGCUGCUCCUAGUACGAGAGGACCGGAGUGGACGCACCUCUGGUGUUCCGGUUGUCACGCCAGUGGCACUGCCGGGUAGCUAAGUGCGGACGGGAUAACCGCUGAAAGCAUCUAAGCGGGAAGCCUCCCUCAAGAUGAGAUCUCCCGGACCUUAAAAGGUCCCUAAAGAUUCGUUGAAGACUACAACGUUGAUAGGCAGGGUGUGGAAGCUCAGUAAUGAGUUUUGAGCUAACCUGUACUAAUUAAUCGUGCGACUUGACCAU